AGCGAACGCUGGCGGCAGGCUUAACACAUGCAAGUCGAGCGGGCAUCCUUGUGGUGUCAGCGGCAGACGGGUGAGUAACGCGUGGGAACGUGCCCUUCGGUUCGUAAUAACUCAGGGAAACUUGAGCUAAUACCGGAUACGUGCGAGAGCAGAAAGGUUUAUCUGCCGAAGGAUCGGCCCGCGUCUGAUUAGCUAGUUGGUGAGGUGAUGGCUCACCAAGGCGACGAUCAGUAGCUGGUCUGAGAGGAUGAUCAGCCACACUGGGACUGAGACACGGCCCAGACUCCUACGGGAGGCAGCAGUGGGGAAUAUUGGACAAUGGGGGCAACCCUGAUCCAGCCAUGCCGCGUGAGUGAUGACGGCCUUAGGGUUGUAAAGCUCUUUUCUCCGGGACGAUAAUGACGGUACCGGAGGAAUAAGCCCCGGCUAACUUCGUG
This 437-nucleotide ribosomal RNA is filed under the name uncultured bacterium. Its description in RNAcentral is "partial 16S ribosomal RNA". It matches the Rfam family "Bacterial small subunit ribosomal RNA", at positions 29 to 507 of the family's 1533-position model. The record is from RNAcentral.